Long non-coding RNA from Mya arenaria, 722 nucleotides. RefSeq lists it as uncharacterized. The transcript is spliced from 2 exons. Lineage: Eukaryota; Metazoa; Mollusca; Bivalvia; Myida; Myidae. The record is from RefSeq and is a predicted model, not a curated record.
AGACCCAACUCGCACAUGUACACGCAUUUGGAAGCUUCCAAUUCACAGUUGAGAGUAUACUACGAAAAUGUCAAUAAAGAAGAUCCCGUUUACAACAACAUGGCGCUGAAGAAUCGGGUACAGACGGUGCUUUAAAUGAAAGGACGAUCUUACGUCAAUAUUUGGUGUAAAAAGCCUUGUCGCAAAUGGAUUAAGAUCCAUCAGUUGAAGAAAGGCCAUAUAAUUCUUGUAUUGGAUAAUAAAGCAAACAGAACUAACAUUAUGUCAGGAAACCUGAAAGUUACAUUUUUGUGGAAGUAUUUUAUUUCACAAACUUUGCGACAGACCGCCAGAAGAACAAACCAACCACUGUGCUUCAAGUAUACUUACUUUGUAUGCAGGUAUUUUAAUAAUAACAUAAACAAAUAUUUUUUUCGAAAUACAUAGAUGCAGCAAUGAUAUAUUACACUCUUUAGGAAAAAAAAAAUACGGGCAAGGGCUACACAACACAAAGCUUUAUUUUAAUUUUGAAUGCAUUGUUUAACAAGAUGUCAACAACAGUAUGUCGGGAAAGCAGUGUAUUUUAGAAUGCCGUAGGUUUUCUUUCAAUAUUGAAUGCCUUCUAUGGUUGAUAAACAAGCCGUAUUGCCUGUCUGUCUAUUAAAGUUAUUUAUGUCUAUGUCAAAUGUGUAAACAUGUGAAGUUCAAAUGUAUGAAUGAUUCGUAAAAAAGUAUACGUUGUA